Molecule: RNA transcript, 1036 nt
Organism: Lathyrus oleraceus (garden pea)
Lineage: Eukaryota; Viridiplantae; Streptophyta; Magnoliopsida; Fabales; Fabaceae
Exons: 3
Source: RefSeq, a predicted model, not a curated record
CGAUGUCAUCAUAAACUUCUCAUGACAAGUUCCAAGACGGACUUGAAAGGGGUUGAAGUCCGCAAGCUUCCAUAAAUACGUACGCUCAAUGAGGCCUAAGCAAUACCAACCUGCAUAGCCAGUCUUGUGAGUGUUUCCUUACAAUUCCUUUCUCAAACUUUCCAUAAUUUGAAAGAAAAGAGGAUGAGUGGCAGUAGGAAAAACGAUGAGAAAGAUAACAAGGACGAUGAAGAAGGAGGGUGGGCUUCAACCUUUUUGAAAAUGGCCGGUGCAGCGGCAGCAACGGCAGCCGUAGUGGGUGGCUUAUACAGUGUCCUGAACCAACCCCAAGCGGAAGUAGCACCAUAUGGAGUGCGACAACCUGAUCCUCAGGUGGUGAUACUGAAAGUGGACGGGUCGCUUCUGCGUGGAAAGGAAUCAGCAGGCUGUGGUGGAUAUGUAAGCAGUGCGUCAAAGAAAUGGAUUUGCGGUUUCGUUCAGAAGUUGGAUCCAAGUAGAAAAGAAGACGAAACUGAGAGGGAGGCAAUUCUAAGAGGUUUGGAUUGGGUUAAGAAAAAAGGAAUGAAGAAAGUUGUGGUGAAAUCAGAUAAUGAAGGGGUUGUGAGUUAUGUGAAUUCUGGACGUAGCUCUAAUGAUUCUGUUGUACGUGGAAUAAGGGAUCUUCUUGGUAGUAGUGAUUGGGAAGCCAAGUUGAGUUGGAUCCCUGGUGAUCAAAACUCAGUUGCUGACAGACUUGCUCAUAUGGCUCAUGGAUUAACUUCUUUCCAUCUCUGUGAGAUUGAUUCUCCCCCUCAAAACUGUGUUUUCCUGCUCUAGUUACUUUCAAUGUUACUUAUGAUCUCAUGAUGUUUUUAAUAUGUGUUUGGUUAUGGUUAUGGUUAAUUAGUUAUGAUUAAGGUGUUUCUACUUGUGUUUGUGUUUGUAUUGUUCAACUACCUACUUUCCCUUUCAACAGAGCGGUUGGAAGCAUGUUUCCACUAUGUUAUAUUAUAUGUAUUUUUUGUGUUGUUUUCUAAUGAAAUGUGUCUUAUGUUAA